Molecule: microRNA precursor, 206 nt
Organism: Oryza sativa Japonica Group (Japanese rice)
Lineage: Eukaryota; Viridiplantae; Streptophyta; Magnoliopsida; Poales; Poaceae
Rfam family: MIR812 microRNA precursor family
Source: Rfam
AAAAAAACAAACUCUGAAUUUUCGUGUCCAACUUUAACUAUCUGUCUCAUAUGAAGUUUUUUUAUAAUUCCUAUUUUCAUUGUUGUUAGAUGAUAAAAUAUGAUUAAUAUUUUAUACGUGACUUGUCUUUUUAAUUUUUUUCAUAAUUUUUUUAAAUAAGACGGACGGUCAAACGUUAGACACGGAAAUCAAGGUUUGUCUUUUUU